GAAUUCGCCCUUAGAGUUUGAUCCUGGCUCAGAUUGAACGCUGGCGGAAUGCUUUACACAUGCAAGUCGAACGGUAACAGCAGAGCUUGCUCUGGCUGACGAGUGGCGGACGGGUGAGUAAUAUAUCGGAACGUGUCCAAUAAUGGGGGAUAACUAAUCGAAAGGUUGGCUAAUACCGCAUACGCCCUGAGGGGGAAAGCUGGGGAUCUUCGGACCUGGCGUUAAUGGAGCGGCCGAUACCUGAUUAGCUAGUAGGUGGGGUAAAAGCCUACCUAGGCAACGAUCAGUAGCUGGUCUGAGAGGACGACCAGCCACACUGGGACUGAGACACGGCCCAGACUCCUACGGGAGGCAGCAGUGGGGAAUUUUGGACAAUGGGGGCAACCCUGAUCCAGCCAUUCCGCGUGAGUGAAGAAGGCCUUCGGGUUGUAAAGCUCUUUCGCAAGGGAAGAAACGAUAUAGUUGAAUAGGCUAUGUUAAUGACGGUACCUUGACAAGAAGCACCGGCUAACUACGUGCCAGCAGCCGCGGUAAUAAGGGCG
Molecule: ribosomal RNA, 542 nt
Filed under: uncultured bacterium
Lineage: Bacteria
Description: bacterial SSU rRNA
Rfam family: Bacterial small subunit ribosomal RNA
Source: RNAcentral